GGGAAGGUCUUUUGGAGCUCUGGAGAACUGAACAAUAGGGAGCAAAAUGACAGGUGGAGCUCAGUGUCAACAAAUGCAAAAUACUAUUAAUUGGAGAGGGAAACAUGAUUUACUCAUUAACCUUACACCAUUCUGCACGUGUCAGGUUAGGAAGGGGACUUGGAUGUGGUGGUGGACAGAUGUGUAUAGUCACAGUCCAAAGAAUGAAACAAGGUCAUAGAUUGUGAAGGCAUAGAAAAAGAAGGCAGUGCUUUUCUGUGGUCAGCAGUGUGACUCUGUGGGGAGCAAAGUGCAGGACUGGGUACUCAAAGUCUCAAGGGACAAUCUAUGAAGCAGACCUAUGUCAGCUUCAGCACAGGGUGAUGGGAAUGCUUAUCUUCCACUGUCUGCUUGUUUACAAUGAAGACUCAUUUGGAGUUCUCACUAUUACUCUUCUGUGAACCAGCUCACCCAGAACUGCCAGGGGUUGUCCAAGAGUUAGAUGUACAGAUGUCCUGGUCUCAGCCUAGUUGCUUACCGGAAUUGAGGUCUGCAGAAAAUGCAGUUCAGGUGGCUGGUCUCUGUUUGGAUCAGGAGCCCUGGUGUGAUGCCCAUCUGCGUCCAACAAUACUUCAGCGUAGAAAUAAUCCUGUCAGAAAACUUCUGUGGAAGGAUUAUCCAGAGUCUGAUGUAUUGCAAAACAAGUAUUUUACUUGAAUUGAUGACUUUUAAUAAUUAGUCAGAAAUAGUCAUUUCUGGAGCUGAUUUUUAUAUGGUUUUGAAGAUAUUCCUUACUAGUAAAGAUGGAGGGUUUGAAGAUGGGAAGACUACUUUGUGAAACUCUGCUACUGGAAACUAGAUAAUGCUGUUCUUGUGUAUGUAAAUUCAGUCUGGG
This 874-nucleotide long non-coding RNA is filed under the name Cyanistes caeruleus (blue tit). RNAcentral's name for it is "lncRNA (ENSCCEG00000016533.1)". The record is from RNAcentral. Lineage: Eukaryota; Metazoa; Chordata; Aves; Passeriformes; Paridae.